CCUACGGUAGGCUGCAGUAAGGAAUAUUGGACAAUGGCGGAGACGCUGAUCCAGCUAUCCCGCGUGCAGGAUGACGGCCCUACGGGUUGUAAACUGCUUUAGACUGGGGCGAAAAAGUGGGAUUUAUCCUACAUUGACGGUACCAGUAAAAUAAGCACCGGCUAACUCCGUGCCAGCAGCCGCGGUAAUACGGAGGGUGCAAGCGUCAUCCGGAAUCACGGGGUAGAAAGGGGCUUGUGGCGGCUUGUUUGAAAGGCCAUGGCUCAACUAUGGGAUUGCUUUUGAUACUGACGAGCUUGGAUUAGGACGAGGUUGGCGGAAUGUGGCAAGUAGCGGUGAAAUGCAUAGAUAUGCCAUAGAAUACCGAUUGCGAAGGCAGCUGACUAGACCUAUAUUGACGCUGAGGCACGAAAGCGUGGGGAGCGAACAGGAUUAGAUACCCUAGUAGUC
RNAcentral lists this ribosomal RNA (450 nucleotides) under uncultured bacterium. RNAcentral's name for it is "partial 16S ribosomal RNA". It matches the Rfam family "Bacterial small subunit ribosomal RNA", at positions 338 to 795 of the family's 1533-position model. The record is from RNAcentral.